GAAGGACAUCCACAGAGCUGGUCAGUCAAGAAUGAAACCUAUGCACCAAACUGAGAAAAGCUGUUGAUAGAGGAAUUUUAAAGAAGGAAUAGGGAGAGGACUACUUCUCUGUUUUUAGCUGGAAGUUCUAUCAUGUACAAAUGCUUUUGAUCACUACUUACAGCAUGUCCAGCAAUGAUGGCUUGAAAAUGGGAGAUUAUUGUAUGACAAGAAGUCCUAUGCAGGAGGAUUUUCUGGUUAUAACAACUGCUCUAUCAUGCAUCAAGGACAUAGGUUAUAUAUGUCUUUUCUGUCCUUCAUUCUCAGUGAUUUCACUACCCUAGAACCAAAAUGAACCAUGUUACACAAAUGAAGUUGGGAAAUUUCUUCGCUCCGUAUACGCACAUAUGUAGACAGCUCCAUAUCCCACAACCUCGUGAUAAUGAAAUCCCUCGCCUCUAGGAAACAUCACAGAAUAUCAGCUUGGGAACACUGUGUGUUUUGCAUGUCAAUCUUGUAAGCAUGAAGACCUACUUAUAGUAAGGUCAUAUGUGUUCUAUAAUGUAUUUGAAAGAUUUCUAACUUAUCACCUAUUUAUUCUUC
Molecule: long non-coding RNA, 582 nt
Filed under: Homo sapiens (human)
Lineage: Eukaryota; Metazoa; Chordata; Mammalia; Primates; Hominidae
Description: non-protein coding lnc-PELI2-4:1
Source: RNAcentral